RNAcentral lists this ribosomal RNA (740 nucleotides) under uncultured delta proteobacterium. Its description in RNAcentral is "bacterial SSU rRNA". It matches the Rfam family "Bacterial small subunit ribosomal RNA", at positions 594 to 1329 of the family's 1533-position model. Lineage: Bacteria; Deltaproteobacteria. The record is from RNAcentral.
GUGAAAGCUCCGGGCUCAACCCGGAGAGGCCGUUCAAUACUGCUGAUCUAGAGGAGGCCAGAGGGGAGUGGAAUUCCUGGAGUAGCGGUAAAAUGCGCAGAUAUCAAGAAGAACACCGGCGGCGAAGGCGGCUCUCUGGAAUGGAUCUGACACUGUGGCACGAAAGCUGGGGUAGCAAACAGGAUUAGAUACCCUGGUAGUCCCAGCCGUAAACUGUGUGCACUUGGUGUGGGGAGUAUUGACCCUUCCCGUGCCGGAGCUAACGCGUUAAGUGCACCGCCUGGGGAGUACGGUCGCAAGGCUAAAACUCAAAGAAAUUGACGGGUCCCCGCACAAGCGGAGGAGCAUGUGGCUUAAUUCGAUGCAACGCGAAGAACCUUACCAGGGCUUGACAUGCAGCUGCUUCCUUCCUGAAAGGGAAGGGUCCUUCGAGGGUGCUGCACAGGUGCUGCAUGGCUGUCGUCAGUUCGUGCCGUGAGGUGUUGGGUUAAGUCCCGCAACGAACGCAACCCCUGUGUUUAGUUGCUACUUUCACUUUUGUGGAAGGCACUCUAGACAGACUGCCCGUACUAAGCGGGAGGAAGGUGGGGACGACGUCAAGUCAGUAUGGCCCUUACGCUCUGGGCUGCACACGUGCUACAAUGGCCGGUACAAUGGGAUGCGAAAUCGCGAGGUGGAGCAAAUCCCCAAAACCGGCCUCAGUUCGGAUUGGAGUCUGCAACCCGACUCCAUGAAGUUGG